UAGCGAGAGCAAGGUGAGAAUCCUUGCGGCCGAAUAUCCAAGGUUUCCAGAGUAAAGCUGAUCUGCUCUGGGUAAGUCGGGGCCUAAGGAGAGGCAGAGAUGCGUAUCCGAUGGACAGCAGGUUUAAGAUUCCUGCACCCCUUGUUAUCAGAACUGCGGGGUCACGGGAAGGGAAGCAGAGCCGGGAAUGGAAAGCCCGGUGCAAGCGAAGUAGUCGCAGGGUUGGAAAAUCCGCCCUGCAUGAGACGAAGGCGUGAUGCGGAGCGAAAUGAAGUAGUGAAGCUGCGGCCCCUUCCUGUCGAGAAAAGCCGCUAUCGUGUAGCAAGGGCCCGUACCGUAAACCGACACAGGUGGAUGAGGAGAGGAUCCUAAGGCCGGCGGGAGAAGUGUUGUUAAGGAACUCGGCAAAAUGACUCCGUAACUUCGGGAGAAGGAGUGCUGCGCAAGCAGCCGCAGAGAAAUGGCCCAAGCAACUGUUUAGCAAAAACACAGGUCUAUGCGAAACCGAAAGGUGAGGUAUAUGGGCUGACGCCUGCCCGGUGCCGGAAGGUUAAGGGGAGAGCUUAGCGCAAGCGAAGGUUUGAACUUAAGCCCCAGUAAACGGCGGCCGUAACAAUAACGGUCCUAAGGUAGCGAAAUUCCUUGUCGGGUAAGUUCCGACCCGCACGAAAGGCGUAAUGAUUUGGGCACUGUCUCAACAACACACCCGGUGAAAUUGAAAUACCAGUGAAGAUGCUGGUUACCCGCGCCAGGACGGAAAGACCCCAUGGAGCUUUACUCCAGCCUGAUACUGGGAUUCGGUAUUGCAUGUACAGGAUAGGUGGGAGGCUAAGAACUUAUGGCGCCAGCCGUGAGGGAGCCGAUGUUGGGAUACCACCCCUGCAGUACUGGGUUUCUAACCUGCGCCCGUGACCCGGGCGGGGGACAAUGUCAGGCGGGGAGUUUGACUGGGGCGGUCGCCUCCGAAAGGGUAUCGGAGGCGCUCAAAGGUCUCCUCAGGAUGGUUGGAAACCAUCCAGAGAGUGCAAAGGCAGAAGGAGGCUUGACUGCGACACCGACGGGUGGAGCAGGUACGAAAGUAGGACUUAGUGAUCCGGUGGCAUAAAGUGGGAUUGCCAUCGCUCAACGGAUAAAAGCUACCCUGGGAUAACAGGCUUAUCACUCCCAAGAGUUCACAUCGACGGAGUGGUUUGGCACCUCGAUGUCGGCUCAUCGCAUCCUGGAGCUGGAGCAGGUUCCAAGGGUUGGGCUGUUCGCCCAUUAAAGCGGUACGCGAGCUGGGUUCAGAACGUCGUGAGACAGUUCGGUCCCUAUCCGGCGCGGGCGCAGGAUAUCUGAGAGGAGCUGUCCUUAGUACGAGAGGACCGGGAUGGACCGUCCGCUGGUGGACCGGUUGUCAUGCCAAUGGCACGGCCGGGUAGCCAAGACGGGAAGGGAUAAACGCUGAAGGCAUCUAAGCGUGAGGCCCCCCUCAAGAUGAGAUAUCCAUACUCGAAAGAGUGAGAGACCCCUUAGAGACGAUGAGGUAGAUAGGGCAGAGAUGGAAGCACAGCGAUGUGUGGAGUUGACUGUUACUAAUCGGUCGAUAGCUU
Molecule: ribosomal RNA, 1592 nt
Filed under: metagenome
Description: bacterial LSU rRNA
Rfam family: Bacterial large subunit ribosomal RNA
Source: RNAcentral